UCUUUCCUACAGUACACGUUACUUGGACGUUUUUAACCACUGUGAACACAGACUAAAAUGGAAAGUAAGCCGUCUUCCUUGUGCGCAGUCUGGAUAUCCUCCUCAUGAGAUGGAUUUUAAAUCUCUCCUCAUCUUGAAUCUCAGUGAGACGGUGUCUGGAUUCUCUGAAAAGCCUUAACCAUUCCAAAGGAAAUGCCUCCGAGAAGGAAACCUCUGUCAGUUGUAUCACUGAUGAUAUUUAUGCUGAAUGUCGUCACUGGAGAUGCUCUGACUUGUCAUGGCACCAAGUACAGAGUAGGACAGGAAUGCUGUCGUAUGUGUCCCCCUGGAAACAGAGUUAAUAAACCUUGCACAAAGUUCACAAGCACAUCUUGUGAGCCGUGCACUGAUGGAACCUUCCUGGAUCAGCUUAAUGGACAAACAGAGUGCUUUCCAUGUAAAAAGUGUGAUGCAGAUGCAGGUUUACAGGUGAAAAGGCCGUGCACAACAACAUCAGAUGCUGUUUGUGAACCACAAGAUGGAUUCUUCUGUGUUGAUCUUAGAGGGGACGGCUGUGUUGCAGCACAGAAACACCGCAGCUGUAAACCUGGUCAAUACAUGAGCCAAAGAGGAACAGCAACAACAGACACAGAGUGCAGCGACUGCACAGGGGAAACUUAUUCAAAUGGAACAUUUACAUCUUGCCAACCUCACACAAAAUGUGAAUCUGAGGGUCUUCAGCAGAUCAGACCAGGAAAUCAUUCAGCUGAUUCUGAAUGUGGACCAAAACAUGACAGUUCAAACAAGACAGCGAUCACUGUAUCACUGAUCUUGGUUGUUGUUAUAACAGUUGCAGUUUUAACAGCUGCAGUAAUUUGGCGAAGAAAGAAGAGACCAAAACAAAGUGCAGGAGGAGAAGAAACGUUUCCAGAACAGGAAACACUAAGAGGAGGGGGAUCCAUCAGAGGCCUGUGCUUUAGCAGUCAGUGUUUCUGGAGAAAAUGGAAACCAUCAGCCAUCAAGCAUCCAGCUGCUACCUCUGUCUGAAGGGCUGAACACGUGAGGAGGUCCAGAGACCCUGGUGGCCACACUUGGGGAGGAUGCCCUGUCAUACAUGAGACAUGAGCUACUGAGGUCAAAUAUGGCAGGGAGAGCCUGGAGCACCACCUCCAUCCAGGAAGGUGGAUUCCCAAGAGAUUCAGAGUGGACGGCUGAUAAGAAGUGUGCUCUUCCACCUGGACAAUCCUCCUGCCCACACCUCCACAGUGUCCAUGACCGCUGUACAGAAAUGUGGAUUUGAACCUGCUCCACAGCUGCUCUAUUGUCCUGAUUUGGCCCCUGCUGACUACUACUGCACCUCAUCCUAAAAAUGAAGACAGGAGCUCAGUGGUUGUUAUUUUGUCUCAGAUGACGACUGUCAGCUCAGAUGAGACUGGUUUCUACACCAAAGGGAUCAGUAUGCUCCAUGACCACGGGAUCAGGUGUGUUCAUGUAGGAGGGGACGAUGCAGAAAGACAAAUGUUUGACUUUCAAGAGCUUACUCCUUCUAAUUUCGGUCCAAAUUUAAAAAAAAUAAAUAAAUAAAAAAUCACCUCAUACGGACCAUUGUGUUUUACCCAUUGGGAACCAAAGCUCAAGAGGAACUGUGAUGUCACCCAGAGAAGGUGUUGAGUAGGUGAUGCAUCUCCUGCUUCCAUUCUGAGGUUGAGGUUGAGUUUGUUCUGAACUGUGGUGUUUCAGCCUGGUUUGUCUCCAGCUGAGGAAUCAAGACAGUCCAUCUUACCCAAGAAAUCAAGUGGAUGCAGCUCAUGGAUGCAGCAUAUAUUUUGCUGCCUUCAUAAUGCAUCAUAUGUUGGAUAAUGAAAUCCAAAAUGCCUCAUUAGAGUACAAAAGCAUGUGCAGUACAUGACAUUUAUCUCAUCACUUUGACACUAUUCUUGACUUUUAUUGCCAAUUUUAUUGACUAUUGACAAUUUUAAUUUCCCAGUCUGCAUCAUCAUUUGAGUGAAGAAGAAUCAUAAUCACCAUCAUAGUCAUACAGAGGCAAAUACAAUUCCAUCUCCACUGUGCAGUAUGAGGGUACACUGGGUAAAUCAUUUUACAGAAAUAUGUUUUGUUUUUGUAUCUUUUGUAAACCCAUAUGUAUUUUAUUCAGCUGUGGAUUUUGUAUGUUUUUUAAAAAGGACUGACAAAAACAGUAUUUUUUCAGAUUCAUCCUCGUAUAUACUGUAUAUUUUUCUAGCUGAUGUGUAUGACAGACAGCUGCUCAGGGUGUUUUUAUUAAAAUGAUGUUUUUGUCUUUCAUCAUCAGUCUGUCUUGGUGCAAUUAACACUGCACACCUACACACACAAACACAUUAUUGUCCACACACACAUUAUUUUUAUACACUGUGUUAAAUUAUGCUAUUCUGUAUGUUGUCAAAGGGCAUAAAUCAAUGUCAGUGAUUCAGUUUGUAGUUAAAAAAAAAAAUUCAUUCCAUAUUUGCUGAGGAGCUCCCCGGCAGCGGUCAACACUGCAACAUCUCCACCCGCGAUUUGUUCUGUUCCUUUCAUGUUGAGCAUGCUCGCUGGGAUAUUAUUUUUUUCUUGAAAGAUGGAUGUAAUUGGACCCAAAGUUAUCAUCGUUUUACAUUUUUCA
Myripristis murdjan (pinecone soldierfish) is the source of this 2617-nucleotide RNA transcript. It is a transcript of the gene named tumor necrosis factor receptor superfamily member 14-like, with no coding region annotated. The record is from RefSeq and is a predicted model, not a curated record. The transcript is spliced from 11 exons. NCBI's taxonomy places the organism in Eukaryota, Metazoa, Chordata, Actinopteri, Holocentriformes, Holocentridae.